RNAcentral lists this unclassified non-coding RNA (354 nucleotides) under fungal sp. Its description in RNAcentral is "partial internal transcribed spacer region". The stretch from base 1 to 46 matches the Rfam family "Eukaryotic small subunit ribosomal RNA", at positions 1786 to 1831 of the family's 1831-position model. The record is from RNAcentral. Lineage: Eukaryota; Fungi.
AAGUCGUAACAAGGUUUCCGUAGGUGAACCUGCGGAAGGAUCAUUAAACGUUUUCCAACGUACCAACCACGUGAACUCGUUUUCGAGUGUCUGCGGUCGGCCUUGAGGGCGUCAAAGUAUGGUGGGCAUCCGCGGGCCGCAAGGCUCGAGGCUCUGCUGUUUGACGUUCUGCAUCGUCUUCGGACGAGACAAGCCGCGCCUCAGCAACCAUUUCAUUCUUAAUUAUUUUUUAAAACGCAUUGUACCACUCGUACUAACACUUUGUGAAGUCGGCAGAGCGCGCUUGCGUGCACUCCGAUGAACUUAAAGACAUUAAUUGCUGAACAACUCUUAGCAACGGAUAUCUUGGUUCUC